RNAcentral lists this ribosomal RNA (253 nucleotides) under uncultured bacterium. Its description in RNAcentral is "partial 16S ribosomal RNA". It matches the Rfam family "Bacterial small subunit ribosomal RNA", at positions 524 to 776 of the family's 1533-position model. The record is from RNAcentral.
UACGAGAGGCCCAAACGUUAUUCGGAAUUACUGGGCUUAAAGAGUUCGUAGGCGGCGCAGAAAGUAGGGUGUGAAAGCCCUCGGCUCAACCGAGGAAUUGCGCUCUAAACUACUGUGCUUGAGGGACCUAGAGGUGAGCGGAACUGAUGGUGGAGCGGUGAAAUGCGUUGAUAUCAUCAGGAACACCGGAGGCGAAGGCGGCUCGCUGGACCGGUUCUGACGCUGAUGCGCGAAAGCGUGGGGAGCAAACGGG